This is a long non-coding RNA of Oncorhynchus keta (chum salmon), 725 nucleotides long. RefSeq lists it as uncharacterized. The record is from RefSeq and is a predicted model, not a curated record. The transcript has 3 exons. Lineage: Eukaryota; Metazoa; Chordata; Actinopteri; Salmoniformes; Salmonidae.
ACCAGCUGGAUGAGGGGACUGAGGCUUCAGUGUGUUAGUAGAACAGGUUAGUGAACUCAGGACCAGCUGGAUGAGGGGACUGAGGCUUCAGUGUGUUAGUAGAACAGGUUAGUGAACUCAGGACCAGCUGGAUGAGGGGACUGAGGCUUCAGUGUGUUAGUAGAACAGGUUAGUGAACUCAGGACCAGCUGGAUGAGGGGACUGAGGCUUCAGUGUGUUAGUAGAACAGGUUUGUGAACUCAGGACCAGCUGGAUGAGGGGACUGAGGCUUCAGUGUGUUAGUAGAACAGGUUAGUGAACUCAGGACCAGCUGGAUGAGGGGACUGAGGCUUCAGUGUGUUAGUAGAACAGGUUAGUGAACUCAGGACCAGCUGGAUGAGGGGACUGAGGCUUCAGUGUGUUAGUAGAACAGGUUAGUGAACUCAGGACCAGCUGGAUGAGGGGACUGAGGCUUCAGUGUGUUAGUAGAACAGGUUAGUGAACUCAGGACCAGCUGGAUGAGGGGACUGAGGCUUCAGUGUGUUAGUAGAACAGGUUAGUGAACUCAGGACCAGCUGGAUGAGGGGACUGAGGCUUCAGUGUGUUAGUAGAACAGGUUAGUGAACUCAGCCCCAGGACCAGCUGGAUGAGGGGACUGAGGCUUCAGUGUGUUAGUAGAACAGGUUAGUGAACUCAGCCCCAGGACCAGCUGGAUGAGGGGACUGAGGCUUCAGUGUGUUAGUAGA